RNAcentral lists this long non-coding RNA (447 nucleotides) under Mus musculus (house mouse). RNAcentral describes it as "predicted gene, 69282". Lineage: Eukaryota; Metazoa; Chordata; Mammalia; Rodentia; Muridae. The record is from RNAcentral.
AAGCAGUCUCUCAGAAGAGUGUGCCUCUGAGCGCUCACUGAGGCCUUUUGUUACUUUGUUUCAGUUAUUGCAGGUCAGAGCAGAUGGUCAUUUCCAGCAGCGAACACUGUCUGCUGCCUUCUACACGUGGUACAGAGGUUGGCGAUGGCACCAGCAGAGACGGAUCCUGCACACAAGAGCAGUGCGUUUUCACAGGCUAUACUGCAGGCAGAGUAGCAGCUUUUUCGUAGGUUCUGGUUGGUGAGGCACCAGCAGGCAGCAGUGUGUCACCUGGAGUGACAGCAGCAAGCCAUGGCCAUUGCCCACCACCACAGCGGACUGCUCAGGAGGGCUUUCUGCAUCUGGAGGGAAAGCACCCGAGGAUUUAGGAUAGAGAGGAUGGGCAGGGCACAUGCUGCGCACUUCCACGCUGCAUGGCUCCUGCAUCGGGCCUGGAGCAUGUGGAGG